CCCUUAGAUGUUCUGGGCCGCACGCGCGCUACACUGAUCAGUGCAACAAGCAUCCGUCCUUGGCCGACAGGCCCGGGCAAUCUUUGAACGCUGAUCGUGAUGGGGAUAGACUUUUGCAAUUUUUGGUCUUCAACGAGGAAUUCCUAGUAAACGCAAGUCAUCAACUUGCAUUGAUUACGUCCCUGCCCUUUGUACACACCGCCCGUCGCACCUACCGAUUGAAUGGUCCGGUGAAGCCUCCGGAUUGGCGCGCACCUCGGUGCCGCCGAGAAGUUGGCUAAACCUUACCAUUUAGAGGAAGGUGAANUCGUAACA
RNAcentral lists this ribosomal RNA (315 nucleotides) under uncultured eukaryote. RNAcentral's name for it is "partial 18S ribosomal RNA". It matches the Rfam family "Eukaryotic small subunit ribosomal RNA", at positions 1470 to 1796 of the family's 1831-position model. The record is from RNAcentral.